RNAcentral lists this long non-coding RNA (640 nucleotides) under Gossypium barbadense (sea-island cotton). RNAcentral describes it as "long non-coding RNA (GBAR_LNC009870)". Lineage: Eukaryota; Viridiplantae; Streptophyta; Magnoliopsida; Malvales; Malvaceae. The record is from RNAcentral.
UUAAGAUUAAAGUUAUGAAUUAAAUAAUUUUUAAAAAUCAAGAUACAUGACAAUAUAAAUAUAUUCAAUAUGUGUUCAAAAAAUAAAGAUAUCCAGUAUUUAUUUUUUAUGGACAUAAAUUUUUUUUGAAUCAAUGGACAUAAAUUUAAUACUAAUAAAAUUUAGUACUGAAAAUUUAACAUUAAGUUUGAUAACCCCAAACCCCAUUGUGACGCAAGUUCAAUGUGCAUGUUAGCGACUGUCCCCUCCUUCCCUUCCUGCCCAGAGCCAGAGAACUGGGAUUAUAAUCGUGACCAUGUUGACGGUGGCCCUAUUAGCGGAAGUGGCGGUGGUGAUGAUGAGCUGCCUCAAGAGCAUCAACUCUAGUUAGUUAGCACCAACUUCAAUAGCCUUUAUAUAAACAGAAGCCGCCGACAAACCACCAGGUGCCACCAAUUUUCUCUCCUGCCAAACGGUCGGAAAAAUUCAGCUUAGCCGACAGUCCACGUAGGUAAAAACCGCCUAUCAUAAGCUCUAGACGCCGCAAGAGGUGUAGCACCGUUUCCUCAAGUCCCCAACUUUCUCAUCCUUAUCACUUUGUACGGCCGUUCGACAAAUUCUAUGUUUCUCAGCUUUGGGCGCUCUUUUUUCUUAAUCCCAA